Molecule: ribosomal RNA, 273 nt
Filed under: uncultured bacterium
Lineage: Bacteria
Description: partial 16S ribosomal RNA
Rfam family: Bacterial small subunit ribosomal RNA
Source: RNAcentral
UCCUAAUUGUUCACGCUUGAAUCGUCAUUACUGGGCGUAACGCGCGCGUAGGUGGUUUGUUAAGUUGGAUGUGAAAGCCCCGGGCUCAACCUGGGAACUGCAUCCAAAACUGGCAAGCUAGAGUAUGGCAGAGGGUGGUGGAAUUUCCUGUGUAGCGGUGAAAUGCGUAGAUAUAGGAAGGAACACCAGUGGCGAAGGCGACCACCUGGGCUAAUACUGACACUGAGGUGCGAAAGCGUGGGGAGCAAACAGGAUGAGAUAACCGGGUAGUCC